UAAAUGUUGAGGAAGAUAAUGACGGUACUCAACAAGGAAGUGACGGCUAACUACGUGCCAGCAGCCGCGGUAAAACGUAGGUCACAAGCGUUGUCCGGAAUUACUGGGUGUAAAGGGAGCGCAGGCGGGAAGACAAGUUGGAAGUGAAAUCCAUGGGCUCAACCCAUGAACUGCUUUCAAAACUGUUUUUCUUGAGUAGUGCAGAGGUAGGCGGAAUUCCCGGUGUAGCGGUGGAAUGCGUAGAUAUCGGGAGGAACACCAGUGGCGAAGGCGGCCUACUGGGCACCAACUGACGCUGAGGCUCGAAAGUGUGGGUAGCAAACAGGAUUAGAUACCCUGGUAGUCCACACCGUAAACGAUGAUUACUAGGUGUUGGAGGAUUGACCCCUUCAGUGCCGCAGUUAACACAAUAAGUAAUCCACCUGGGGAGUACGACCGCAAGGUUGAAACUCAAAGGAAUUGACGGGGGCCCGCACAAGCAGUGGAGUAUGUGGUUUAAUUCGACGCAACGCGAAGAACCUUACCAAGUCUUGACAUCCUGCGACGCACAUAGAAAUAUGUGUUUCCUUCGGGACGCAGAGACAGGUGGUGCAUGGUUGUCGUCAGCUCGUGUCGUGAGAUGUUGGGUUAAGUCCCGCAACGAGCGCAACCCUUAUGGUCAGUUACUACGCAAGAGGACUCUGGCCAGACUGCCUUUGACAAA
This 703-nucleotide ribosomal RNA is filed under the name Faecalibacterium prausnitzii. RNAcentral's name for it is "bacterial SSU rRNA". It matches the Rfam family "Bacterial small subunit ribosomal RNA", at positions 434 to 1162 of the family's 1533-position model. The record is from RNAcentral. Lineage: Bacteria; Bacillati; Bacillota; Clostridia; Eubacteriales; Oscillospiraceae.